RNAcentral lists this unclassified non-coding RNA (251 nucleotides) under uncultured fungus. RNAcentral describes it as "partial contains small subunit ribosomal RNA, internal transcribed spacer 1, and 5.8S ribosomal RNA". The stretch from base 1 to 73 matches the Rfam family "Eukaryotic small subunit ribosomal RNA", at positions 1759 to 1831 of the family's 1831-position model. The record is from RNAcentral. Lineage: Eukaryota; Fungi.
GCAAACUUGGUCAUUUAGAGGAAGUAAAAGUCGUAACAAGGUUUCCGUAGGUGAACCUGCGGAAGGAUCAUUAAAGAAAUCCGUCGAAAGGGCUUCACUCAUCCCUCACCUGUGAACUGUCGUGGGGCCCUCUCGCGAGGUCCGCGCGCCUUCUACCAAACUUCUGGUGGUCAAAGAUGUUGCUCUUGUCAUGAUCUAUUAAAACUUUCAACGACGGAUCUCUUGGCUCUCGCAUCGAUGAAGAACGCAGC